RNAcentral lists this ribosomal RNA (685 nucleotides) under Rugamonas fusca. RNAcentral describes it as "bacterial SSU rRNA". It matches the Rfam family "Bacterial small subunit ribosomal RNA", at positions 329 to 1007 of the family's 1533-position model. The record is from RNAcentral. Lineage: Bacteria; Pseudomonadati; Pseudomonadota; Betaproteobacteria; Burkholderiales; Oxalobacteraceae.
GUCCAGACUCCUACGGGAGGCAGCAGUGGGGAAUUUUGGACAAUGGGCGCAAGCCUGAUCCAGCAAUGCCGCGUGAGUGAAGAAGGCCUUCGGGUUGUAAAGCUCUUUUGUCAGGGAAGAAACGGUGGAGGCUAAUAUCCUUUGCUAAUGACGGUACCUGAAGAAUAAGCACCGGCUAACUACGUGCCAGCAGCCGCGGUAAUACGUAGGGUGCAAGCGUUAAUCGGAAUUACUGGGCGUAAAGCGUGCGCAGGCGGUUUUGUAAGUCUGUCGUGAAAUCCCCGGGCUCAACCUGGGAAUUGCGAUGGAGACUGCAAGGCUAGAAUCUGGCAGAGGGGGGUAGAAUUCCACGUGUAGCAGUGAAAUGCGUAGAUAUGUGGAGGAACACCGAUGGCGAAGGCAGCCCCCUGGGUCAAGAUUGACGCUCAUGCACGAAAGCGUGGGGAGCAAACAGGAUUAGAUACCCUGGUAGUCCACGCCCUAAACGAUGUCUACUAGUUGUCGGGUCUUAAUUGACUUGGUAACGCAGCUAACGCGUGAAGUAGACCGCCUGGGGAGUACGGUCGCAAGAUUAAAACUCAAAGGAAUUGACGGGGACCCGCACAAGCGGUGGAUGAUGUGGAUUAAUUCGAUGCAACGCGAAAAACCUUACCUACCCUUGACAUGGCAGGAAUCCCUGAGAGAU